RNAcentral lists this long non-coding RNA (1026 nucleotides) under Homo sapiens (human). Its description in RNAcentral is "MIR3976 host gene". Lineage: Eukaryota; Metazoa; Chordata; Mammalia; Primates; Hominidae. The record is from RNAcentral.
GAGUGUAAGCUGCUAUAUGAAGGGAUCCACAAGACGAAUAAUUAAGGGGGACCUCUGAUCAACAGCCAGCAAGGAACUGAAUCCCUCAGACCCACAACUCACAAGAAACUGAAGCUGAAGCAGAUUCUUCCUCAGUCAAGCUUCAGAAAGAAAUCAUGAGUGACCACUCAGCUCAAGGCUUCUCUGCUGAUGCCAUCCAGUGAGUUUCCUGGCAGCCAUCUUUUUAUGAAAGAAUAGAGGUCAGCCUGACUGCACUUCCAGAUGAUUAGAGCCACAUCAGGAAGCAGUAAGUGGCAGGGCCAUCUCAAGGAAGAGCCACCAGUCUCCAGGGAGUUUAGGUCUUAGAUGUGAAGCCUCAAGUAAUUUGCAGAGAUUGUCUUGCCUGUAUAACACACCCUGUUGUUGCUUUUAUACAGCCAAACUGACAGGGGUUUGUGAAUCAGAAUGAUGGCUUUGCAUUUUAGCUUAGGGAAGGACCUGCUUUGCAGAAAGGAUCUCAUUGAGAAUAGCAAAAGGAAGUUGGGAACCAUUACAGUGCCCAGCUGUAUUGGUAGAGGAGACCAACCACACCCUCCACAGCACAGCACCUGGAGAGGAACUGCUGCCAUGACCAUAGAGGACACCCUCUGGAUACAAUGCCAGACUUGAUGUGGGACUGACCAACCUAUGGACCCCAGGCACCACCACCCAGACCUGCUCAGCACCUGAAACAUUCACAGCCGUGGAGAGAGAACUGUUCACUGCUACCAUCCACACUUCUGGGCCCCUUCAGCAGCAGGGUGACAAGGAAGAGGGAAAUCGACUUGGAAAAGAGGGGACCUCUGACCCAAGAGUUCGGUCAAUGCAUAUGUUGGCAGCCAGCUGCACAUCGCACCAAAUAUGAACUUCAAAUAGAAGAAAGCCUCAUUUGGAAGAAAGCUCAUGCACAGACUGUAAAUAUUUCAGAGCAGAUUGUGUCUCUGUAGAUUAAGUAAGUUGUGAAAGUCUGAACCUCUGCCAAAAUUUUAAGACCUUGACCUUUACAUC